UGCGUCGGCCGGGAGUCGAACCCGGGACAACUGUUUGGGAAAGAGCUGUCCUGACCGUUGAACUACCGACGC
RNAcentral lists this transfer RNA (72 nucleotides) under Araneus ventricosus. Its description in RNAcentral is "tRNA-Gly". The record is from RNAcentral. Lineage: Eukaryota; Metazoa; Arthropoda; Arachnida; Araneae; Araneidae.